Molecule: ribosomal RNA, 1553 nt
Filed under: Escherichia coli
Lineage: Bacteria; Pseudomonadati; Pseudomonadota; Gammaproteobacteria; Enterobacterales; Enterobacteriaceae
Description: bacterial SSU rRNA
Rfam family: Bacterial small subunit ribosomal RNA
Source: RNAcentral
AAAUUGAAGAGUUUGAUCAUGGCUCAGAUUGAACGCUGGCGGCAGGCCUAACACAUGCAAGUCGAACGGUAACAGGAAGCAGCUUGCUGCUUCGCUGACGAGUGGCGGACGGGUGAGUAAUGUCUGGGAAACUGCCUGAUGGAGGGGGAUAACUACUGGAAACGGUAGCUAAUACCGCAUAACGUCGCAAGACCAAAGAGGGGGACCUUCGGGCCUCUUGCCAUCGGAUGUGCCCAGAUGGGAUUAGCUUGUUGGUGGGGUAACGGCUCACCAAGGCGACGAUCCCUAGCUGGUCUGAGAGGAUGACCAGCCACACUGGAACUGAGACACGGUCCAGACUCCUACGGGAGGCAGCAGUGGGGAAUAUUGCACAAUGGGCGCAAGCCUGAUGCAGCCAUGCCGCGUGUAUGAAGAAGGCCUUCGGGUUGUAAAGUACUUUCAGCGGGGAGGAAGGGAGUAAAGUUAAUACCUUUGCUCAUUGACGUUACCCGCAGAAGAAGCACCGGCUAACUCCGUGCCAGCAGCCGCGGUAAUACGGAGGGUGCAAGCGUUAAUCGGAAUUACUGGGCGUAAAGCGCACGCAGGCGGUUUGUUAAGUCAGAUGUGAAAUCCCCGGGCUCAACCUGGGAACUGCAUCUGAUACUGGCAAGCUUGAGUCUCGUAGAGGGGGGUAGAAUUCCAGGUGUAGCGGUGAAAUGCGUAGAGAUCUGGAGGAAUACCGGUGGCGAAGGCGGCCCCCUGGACGAAGACUGACGCUCAGGUGCGAAAGCGUGGGGAGCAAACAGGAUUAGAUACCCUGGUAGUCCACGCCGUAAACGAUGUCGACUUGGAGGUUGUGCCCUUGAGGCGUGGCUUCCGGAGCUAACGCGUUAAGUCGACCGCCUGGGGAGUACGGCCGCAAGGUUAAAACUCAAAUGAAUUGACGGGGGCCCGCACAAGCGGUGGAGCAUGUGGUUUAAUUCGAUGCAACGCGAAGAACCUUACCUGGUCUUGACAUCCACGGAAGUUUUCAGAGAUGAGAAUGUGCCUUCGGGAACCGUGAGACAGGUGCUGCAUGGCUGUCGUCAGCUCGUGUUGUGAAAUGUUGGGUUAAGUCCCGCAACGAGCGCAACCCUUAUCCUUUGUUGCCAGCGGUCCGGCCGGGAACUCAAAGGAGACUGCCAGUGAUAAACUGGAGGAAGGUGGGGAUGACGUCAAGUCAUCAUGGCCCUUACGACCAGGGCUACACACGUGCUACAAUGGCGCAUACAAAGAGAAGCGACCUCGCGAGAGCAAGCGGACCUCAUAAAGUGCGUCGUAGUCCGGAUUGGAGUCUGCAACUCGACUCCAUGAAGUCGGAAUCGCUAGUAAUCGUGGAUCAGAAUGCCACGGUGAAUACGUUCCCGGGCCUUGUACACACCGCCCGUCACACCAUGGGAGUGGGUUGCAAAAGAAGUAGGUAGCUUAACCUUCGGGAGGGCGCUUACCACUUUGUGAUUCAUGACUGGGGUGAAGUCGUAACAAGGUAACCGUAGGGGAACCUGCGGUUGGAUCACCUCCUUACCUUAAAGAAG